UUCAGGAGAAGGAACUCGGCAAAUUGACACCGUAACUUCGGAAGAAGGUGUGCCCUGGUAGGUUGUAGCCGUACAGGCGAAGGCCGAAGGGGUUGCAAAAAAUCGGUGGCUGCGACUGUUUAAUAAAAACACAGCACUCUGCAAAGAUGAUGAAUCGACGUAUAGGGUGUGACGCCUGCCCGGUGCCGGAAGGUUAAAUGAUGGGGUGCAAGCUCUUGAUUGAAGCCCCGGUAAACGGCGGCCGUAACAAUAACGGUCCUAAGGUAGCGAAAUUCCUUGUCGGGUAAGUUCCGACCUGCACGAAUGGCGUAACGAUGGCCACACUGUCUCCUCCUGAGACUCAGCGAAGUUGAAGUGUUUGUGAUGAUGCAAUCUACCCGCGGCUAGACGGAAAGACCCCGUGCACCUUUACUGUAGCUUUGCAUUGGACUGUGAUGGGAUCUGUGUAGGAUAGGUGGGAGCCUGUGAAGCGGUGGCGCUAGCCAUCGUGGAGGCAACGUUGAAAUACCACCCUGAUGUCAUUGCGGUUCUAACCUUGGCCCCUAUAGCGGGGUUGGGGACAGUGCAUGGUAGGCAGUUUGACUGGGGCGGUCUCCUCCCAAAGAGUAACGGAGGAGCUCGAAGGUACGCUAGGUACGGUCGGACAUCGUGCUGAUAGUGCAAUGGCACAAGCGUGCUUGACUGCGAGACUGACAAGUCGAGCAGGUGCGAAAGCAGGACAUAGUGAUCCGGUGGUUCUGAAUGGAAGGGCCAUCGCUCAACGGAUAAAAGGUACGCCGGGGAUAACAGGCUGAUUCCUCCCAAGAGUUCAUAUCGACGGGGGAGUUUGGCACCUCGAUGUCGGCUCAUCACAUCCUGGGGCUGUAGCCGGUCCCAAGGGUAUGGCUGUUCGCCAUUUAAAGUGGUACGUGAGCUGGGUUUAAAACGUCGUGAGACAGUUUGGUCCCUAUCAGCCGUGGGCGUUGGACGUUUGAGGGGGGCUGCUCCUAGUACGAGAGGACCGGAGUGGACGAACCUCUGGUGUACCGGUUAUCACGCCAGUGGUAUUGCCGGGUAGCUAAGUUCGGGAGAGAUAAGCGCUGAAAGCAUCUAAGUGCGAAACUUGCCCCAAGAUGAGACGUCCCUGGAGGUUAACUCCACUAAAGGGUCGCGGAAGACCACCGCGUUGAUAGGUCGGGUGUGGAAGCGCAGUAAUGCGUUAAGCUAACCGAUACUAAUUGCCCGUGCGGCUUGAUCCU
RNAcentral lists this ribosomal RNA (1238 nucleotides) under metagenome. RNAcentral's name for it is "bacterial LSU rRNA". It matches the Rfam family "Bacterial large subunit ribosomal RNA", at positions 1699 to 2925 of the family's 2925-position model. The record is from RNAcentral.